GGGGCUGCUCGUCUCGUUAGCUAUUAGAAGUUGCGCCUCAGUAGUCAGUACUCCUGAGUCCCUCUCUGCUCUCUCUCCCUCGCGAAGUCCCUCCAAUCCAAAAUGUCUCUGGUGGCGAAUGAGGACUUUCAGCACAUUUUGCGUGUGCUUAACACUAAUGUUGAUGGGAAGCAGAAGAUAAUGUUUGCUUUGACCUCAAUCAAAGGAAUUGGGAGGCGUUUCGCCAACAUUGUCUGCAAGAAGGCUGAUGUUGACAUGAACAAGAGGUCUGCUACUUCCGUACUCUGUUUUCAUGAUUAUGUUUGCUGCUAGUGCUAAGAAGAAUGUCAUUAAAUCAAAUGGAUUAGCAAACAUGGUUUUCUUAACUUUUUUAUUGUUAACUUAGCUGAACUAGUUUGUUAUCCAUCAUUAAGUGGGGAUGGUUGUCCAAAAGUUACAAAGUUUUAGUUCUUUUACCCAUUAUUUUACUUUUAAAAAUGGCUCUGUGUUAGCCGCGGGUAUAAUUUUUUGUUUCAUGGGGGAAGCAGAAUUGGAGUUCUGCUGGUAAUUUAAUGGUCUUACCACCAAGGCUGAUAUCUUUGUAGAAUCCAUUCUCAGAUGUAUUAUCGUCAUUCAUCAAGAAAGACAUCCCAUCACUCAUGUCCUUGUUCUCCUAUCAAUUAAGUUAAAAAAAUUUUGAUUGAUAUGAUGUAUUACUGCUUGGGUUUUUGUGCUGUAAUUUGUCUGGCUCCAGAUCUGGUUGACUUUUGAUGACUAUAACUAGUUUUGAUUCUUUAAACAAGCAGUUUUUGUUAAGUUACUGGUGAAUUAACUGCUGCUGAGCUGGAUAAUCUUAUGGUCAUUGUUGCAAAUCCUCGUCAAUUCAAGAUCCCAGACUGGUUUUUGAACAGGCAGAAGGAUAACAAGGAUGGGAAAUUUUCUCAAGUUGUGUCUAAUGCACUGGACAUGAAGUUGAGAGAUGAUUUAGAGCGACUAAAGAAGAUCAGGAAUCACCGGGGUCUGAGGCACUACUGGGGUCUUCGUGUCAGGGGACAACACACCAAGACCACUGGUCGUCGUGGAAAGACUGUUGGUGUCUCUAAGAAGCGGUGAGAAUCUGUUGAUUGGGUUGAAUUAAUAUAUGGGUUGGGAGAGUUGGUUCCUUGCCACAGGCUUUUGCACUAGGAAAGUCCAGAUGUUUUUUGCUCUAGGAAAGUCCAGAUAUUUUUUUGUUAGAUAGGAAGGAUUUUGAUCCCAUUAAGCAUUUAUCUGUGGAAGUGAGUUGCAGAAUCAUAUAUUAUUAUAUGCUGAAAGGGUAUUUUUAUAAUAAAAAUUAUGAAGACUUAAUUACAUAAUUAUAUUGGAGAUAUUGUUAAAUUAUUUUUUAAUUACAUUUAUUAAAAUAUGUUUUUG
This 1392-nucleotide unclassified non-coding RNA is filed under the name Hevea brasiliensis (rubber tree). The record is from RNAcentral. Lineage: Eukaryota; Viridiplantae; Streptophyta; Magnoliopsida; Malpighiales; Euphorbiaceae.